Molecule: ribosomal RNA, 445 nt
Filed under: uncultured bacterium
Lineage: Bacteria
Description: partial 16S ribosomal RNA
Rfam family: Bacterial small subunit ribosomal RNA
Source: RNAcentral
GUGGGGAAUAUUGGACAAUGGGCGCAAGCCUGAUCCAGCCAUGCCGCGUGCAGGAAGACGCAUCUAUGGUGUGUAAACUGCUUUUGUACGGGAAGAAACACUCCCUCGUGAGGGAGCUUGACGGUACCGUAAGAAUAAGGAUCGGCUAACUCCGUGCCAGCAGCCGCGGUAAUACGGAGGAUCCAAGCGUUAUCCGGAAUCAUUGGGUUUAAAGGGUCCGUAGGCGGUUUAAUAAGUCAGUGGUGAAAGCCCAUCGCUCAACGAUGGAACGGCCAUUGAUACUGUUAGACUUGAAUUACAAGGAAGUAACUAGAAUAUGUAGUGUAGCGGUGAAAUGCUUAGAUAUUACAUGGAAUACCAAUUGCGAAGGCAGGUUACUACUUGUGGAUUGACGCUGAUGGACGAAAGCGUGGGGAGCGAACAGGAUUAGAAACCCGGGUAGUCC